RNAcentral lists this transfer RNA (74 nucleotides) under Dichanthelium oligosanthes. It matches the Rfam family "tRNA". Rfam says of the family: Transfer RNA (tRNA) molecules are approximately 80 nucleotides in length. Their secondary structure includes four short double-helical elements and three loops (D, anti-codon, and T loops). Further hydrogen bonds mediate the characteristic L-shaped molecular structure. tRNAs have two regions of fundamental functional importance: the anti-codon, which is responsible for specific mRNA codon recognition, and the 3' end, to which the tRNAs corresponding amino acid is attached (by aminoacyl-tRNA synthetases). tRNAs cope with the degeneracy of the genetic code in two manners: having more than one tRNA (with a specific anti-codon) for a particular amino acid; and 'wobble' base-pairing, i.e. permitting non-standard base-pairing at the 3rd anti-codon position. The record is from Rfam by way of RNAcentral. Lineage: Eukaryota; Viridiplantae; Streptophyta; Magnoliopsida; Poales; Poaceae.
GCACCAGUGGCCUAGUAGUAUUAGAAUACUACCCUGCCACGGUAGAGACCCGGGUUCGAUUCCAGGCUGGUGCA